UAGCCAGACUCCUACGGGAGGCAGCAGUGAGGAAUAUUGGUCAAUGGGCGCGAGCCUGAACCAGCCAAGUCGCGUGAGGGAAGACGGUCCUAUGGAUUGUAAACCUCUUUUGUCGGGGAGCAAAAGACGCCACGUGUGGCGUUCCGAGAGUACCCGAAGAAAAAGCAUCGGCUAACUCCGUGCCAGCAGCCGCGGUAAUACGGAGGAUGCGAGCGUUAUCCGGAUUUAUUGGGUUUAAAGGGUGCGCAGGCGGAAGAUCAAGUCAGCGUUAAAAUUGAGAGGCUCAACCUCUUCGAGCCGUUGAAACUGGUCUUCUUGAGUGAGCGAGAAGUAUGCGGAAUGCGUGGUGUAGCGGUGAAAUGCAUAGAUAUCACGCAGAACUCCGAUUGCGAAGGCAGCAUACCGGCGCUCAACUGACGCUCAUGCACGAAAGUGUGGGUAUCGAGCAGGAUUAGAUACCCCUGUAC
Molecule: ribosomal RNA, 467 nt
Filed under: uncultured bacterium
Lineage: Bacteria
Description: bacterial SSU rRNA
Rfam family: Bacterial small subunit ribosomal RNA
Source: RNAcentral